Molecule: non-coding RNA, 86 nt
Organism: Lynx canadensis (Canada lynx)
Lineage: Eukaryota; Metazoa; Chordata; Mammalia; Carnivora; Felidae
Source: the annotation of a RefSeq genome assembly
GCCUGGGUGGCUCAGUUGGUUAAAGCAUCCGACUUGGGCUCGGGUCAUCAUCUUACGGUUUGUGGGUUCGAGCCCCGCGUCGGGCU